GGACGGUGAUGGCGCAGUCGUACUGGCGUGCCAGUCGAGCGAGCAGGGCGAGGUCGACGUGACUGAGCAUCCCCGGUUCCACGGCCGGCACGGUCUGC
This 98-nucleotide transfer RNA is filed under the name Micromonospora phaseoli. RNAcentral's name for it is "tRNA-Ala". Lineage: Bacteria; Bacillati; Actinomycetota; Actinomycetes; Micromonosporales; Micromonosporaceae. The record is from RNAcentral.